RNAcentral lists this transfer RNA (72 nucleotides) under Chloroflexota bacterium. RNAcentral describes it as "Chloroflexi bacterium tRNA-Arg". It matches the Rfam family "tRNA". From Rfam's summary of the family: Transfer RNA (tRNA) molecules are approximately 80 nucleotides in length. Their secondary structure includes four short double-helical elements and three loops (D, anti-codon, and T loops). Further hydrogen bonds mediate the characteristic L-shaped molecular structure. tRNAs have two regions of fundamental functional importance: the anti-codon, which is responsible for specific mRNA codon recognition, and the 3' end, to which the tRNAs corresponding amino acid is attached (by aminoacyl-tRNA synthetases). tRNAs cope with the degeneracy of the genetic code in two manners: having more than one tRNA (with a specific anti-codon) for a particular amino acid; and 'wobble' base-pairing, i.e. permitting non-standard base-pairing at the 3rd anti-codon position. Lineage: Bacteria; Bacillati; Chloroflexota. The record is from RNAcentral.
GCCCCCAUAGCUCAGCGGAUAGAGCGUUGCCCUCCGGAGGCAAAAGCCCAGGUUCGAGUCCUGGUGGGGGCA